This 341-nucleotide long non-coding RNA is filed under the name Homo sapiens (human). Its description in RNAcentral is "HSALNT0266617". The record is from RNAcentral. Lineage: Eukaryota; Metazoa; Chordata; Mammalia; Primates; Hominidae.
CUUGACCUCGGCCUCCACGUAGGCGUCCUGUUCAUCAGGCACCCAGACUCGCUUCUUCCCUGGGUUGCAGAGAGAGCUCUGGACUCAGAGAGGGGCUGAGGCACCUCCAGGUUCUAGCUGGAGUUCCCAAGCCAUGCUGUCCCCAGAGCUUUGAGGAGCCCAGAUUUCAUGGUGGUUAGAAGCAUGGACUCAGGCUGCAAACCGGAGUUUGUGUCCCCUGCUCUGCCAAGUGCCUGGGUCAGGACCAUCUAGAACCAUCUAGGACCAUCUACAUAACCUACAGACCCCAGUACAAAAUGACGAUGUGGGUCCCCUUGUUGAAAACAAUUAAAACUUUCAAG